ACGGAAGGCAGCAGUGGGGAAUAUUGCACAAUGGGGGAAACCCUGAUGCAGCGACGCCGCGUGAGUGAAGAAGUAUUUCGGUAUGUAAAGCUCUAUCAGCAGGAAAGAAAAUGACGGUACCUGACUAAGAAGCCCCGGCUAACUACGUGCCAGCAGCCGCGGUAAUACGUAGGGGGCAAGCGUUAUCCGGAUUUACUGGGUGUAAAGGGAGCGUAGACGGUCUUGCAAGUCUGAAGUGAAAGCCCGGGGCUCAACCCCGGAACUGCUUUGGAAACUGUAAAACUAGAGUGCAGGAGAGGUAAGCGGAAUUCCUAGUGUAGCGGUGAAAUGCGUAGAUAUUAGGAGGAACACCAGCGGCGAAGGCGGCUUACUGGACUGUAACUGACGUUGAGGCUCGAAGGCGUGGGGAGCAAACAGGAUUAGAUACCCUGGUA
Molecule: ribosomal RNA, 434 nt
Filed under: uncultured Lachnospiraceae bacterium
Lineage: Bacteria; Bacillati; Bacillota; Clostridia; Lachnospirales; Lachnospiraceae
Description: bacterial SSU rRNA
Rfam family: Bacterial small subunit ribosomal RNA
Source: RNAcentral